CCUUUAUUUAAAUUGUCAUUUGAUGUUUAUUUUAAAUAACCUUUUGACAGUUUGACCCGGAAGUAUUUUUCCGUAACAAAAUACGGUUUACUAAUAGCAACAGAUAUUAUGGCGGAAAAUUUGAAAAACACUUGAACAUUUUAUGAAAAUGUCCCAGUUGAGUGAAGCAAGCACCACCCCUUACGAAUUAAGCCAAGACCAUUUAUUUCGCGAAGAGUUAUUAGAAGUUGAUAGACUUUAUUUUCAUGUUUUGUGUCCAGAGAGUUCUGGUGCAAGUGAUUUAGUCAGUCUGAUUCAGAAAAUGAUUCUAGCCAUGAAAGUAAUGCUGUCAAUGAUGAAUCAGAUGAUGAUAUAUGUAAUGCAGAGACUGUUCAGUGUGAAAGUUUUGACCAUGAUUUAGAACCUUCUGCAGAGUAUUUAAGACAGAGAAAGAAAACUGAUGAUUUCUUUGCUCAGACCUGCAAGUGUGAAAAACUUUAGGCAAACCAUGCAGUCAAGUUGUCGAUGGUAAUGAUAUAACUGACUUACGUAUGUAUUCAGCCGGUAUGCAGACAGAUGAACUUGAUCUUGUUAUUAAAUCAGCCAUGUUGUGCCACAGAAAAAAUGGCCAACAAACUGACAGUUGUAAACAUAAACGGCAGGAGAGGGUUAGGCCCAGUCAGUAGUUUUAUAUUAAGGGAGUUGAAGUUUGCCGUGAGGUAUUCUGUUUCGCAUACAACAUCGGAAAGGAGAAACUAAAAAGAAUUGGUCGCUCUCUUGACAAUGAUGGAUUGAUUGCUAGGACUCAUGGUAAUACCAAAAGACUACCUCAUAAUGCAAUCACAUUUGAGGAGAGAACACAUAAGAAAAUUCCUCAUCUGCUAUGCAUCUGACAAUGCAAUGCCCGUUCCCGGAAGACUUCCAAACCACCGCAAUAGUAAAGUGUUGUUGUUGCCAUCUGAUAAAUCACAAGCAGACAUUCAUGUUGAAUAUGAAAAAAAUAGAGGGUGCUAGAAGCUAUGGCAUGAGUUGUGCCCACAUAUAGUCUUAGCUAAACCAAAAACAGACUUGUGUUUUAGAUGCCAAACCUUUUCUUUUAAUAUGUCACAAAGUGGUGCCCUUUCUGAAGAUGAUAAAAUGACACUUUUUGAUGAAUAUGAAAGUCAUGUUGAAAGUGCUAGACAUCAGAGGGAGCAAUAUAGAAUGCAGUGUGAUUACUCUAAAGUUACAUGUAGUGAAAACAUGAAGUUGAAGGUUCAGAGUCAUGUUCCUUAGAUGCAACCGUCCACUACAGCUGGGACUUUGCACAGCAGGUUCAUAUUCCACACCAUAGCCAACAGGUUGGACCCCUGUAUUUCAAAACUGCCGGAGGAGAUGUGAGGUAUUUGGAGUUUGCUGUGAAGGAUCUGAGAAACACCUUGCCUGGGUGAGGCACAUGCUCAGUUCCACUUUGACAAUUGCCAAGGACAACAAAAAUAAUGCCGUUCUUGGUUAUGCUGUGUGGAGAACAUUGACAGGAGGGCAUAAGACAAUCCAAUACUCACUGAUGCUAGCCGGCCACACCAAAUUUUCAUGCGACUGGCAUUUUGGAGUUUGGAAAAACAGAAUGAGAUACAUGGAUGCAGAGACAGUUGAGGAGGUGGCUUCCACAGAAGCCAUGUCAUCCCGUAAUGGCCACAACAUUCCACAUAUUGUUGAUGGCAACAGCAAACAAGUGUCGUUCUAUGACUGGAGCACCUUCUUCAAAGGCAUUUUCAAACCAUUGAAGAACAUUUCGAAAUACCAUUCAUUUGAGGUGUCUUCUAACGAGCCUGGGGUUUUAAGAGUAAGGAAGUUUGUUGAUGCCCCUGGGGAGAAAAUUAACAUACUGAAAAACUGCCAAGUGGAUAUUGGUGUUCUGCCAGAGCAGAUCUUUGGUGAGGGAAUAAGUGCAGGAAGGCAAUGGUACUUGCAUGAUGUAAAAAGAGACUUUUGCGGAUCAGAUAAUGCAAAAAAACACAACAUACCCAUUGCCAUUAGUUGCAAAAGAAGGCUAUUCAAAGGCCAAAAAACAAAAGUUGAAAUAGGCAACUUUAUUGAGAACACUUUCUGUGUGUGUUUCAGCAAAAGUUAUAGUUUGUUUCUUGCUAUAAAUAUAUUGGCAUGUGUAAGUGGAAGUUUUAUGUUUUCAUUUACAUUCAAAGAAUAUAUUUCUUUGUGUUACAUUGAUAAAAUAUUCAUGAUCUUAGGAAUGUAUGGUUUCCUUGGCAACCAAAAGUAACACACUUGAUUGAUCAUUAAAUACUUAUGUAUAAACAUGUAUUUCAAUUAUGGGAAUAUCAUUGAACAGUCGGCCAUCUAUAAGUAAAGUAUGAUGGCAUUCAUAUUUUCCAUACACGACUCCAGUAUAAUGUGAAAGUGUACAUUUAUAAGUCUAUAUGUUAAUAGUUAUACAUUAAUAUAGUUUCAAUAAUCCUUGCAUGCAUAUGUUUGUUGUCAAUUUUGUCAAAUAAGGCAUGUGUCAAUGCUUUCCUUGUAAAUACAUUUCAUUCUGUGUCAUCUUACAACUCCAAAAGAAUGAAAUGAGCAAAAAAAAAGAAUUAUUCUAGGUAUAAGUCAGUUGCUAUGGCAACCAAGUAUAACAUUCUUAUUGAUUUUAAAAAUAAUUGAUUUCACCAGACAAGUUACAUCUUUAAAAUAAUUGCUUGUUUUAAAAUAAUAUGUUUUUUGUUUUGAUUAAUACAAGGAUAAGCUGCACUACUUUUGAACAAUUAACCUUGUUUUAGAAAAGUUGCAGAUUUUCUUUACAGGGUCUAUUAUGUAUCUAAUUUAGUCAUGCUCAUGUGUACGUGAUAACUCUCUUUGUACAGACUGGUUUAAUGUUUCUAGUGGCCUAAGGCAAGGUUGCAUCUUGUCGCCAUUAGUGUUUAAUCUAUUUUAGAUGACCUAGUUAAGUACUUAAAAAUUUUAGAUGUUGGGAUCUUUAUUGAAGAUGAGAAAAUGUGUGUUUUAUUAUAUGUAGAUGACAUUGUUCUACUAGCGUCAAGCGAAGCUGCUAAACAAGUGCUUUUAAAUGCUUUAGCUGACUGGUGUAAUAUUAAUGACAUGACUAUUAAUACAACAAAGAGUAAUAUAGUUCACUUUCGUCCUCAAUCUGUACAACUCAGAAAUUUCAACUUUAUAUGUGCCAAUGACAGUUUAUAUGCAGUUGAUAAGUAUACUUACCUUGGCAUUGUUAUCAAUGAAUUUCUUGAUUAUAAUGUGACUGCUAAAGCCGUUGCUCAGAGUGCUAGCCGUGCGCUCGGGCUUCAUAUUGCUAAAUAUAAAAUCGUUGGUGGUAUGCCGUAUGCCGCAUACACUAAAUUAUAUGAUUCUAUUGUUUGGCCGAUUAUAAGUUACGGUGCAUCUAUCUGGGGUAUAAAAUCGUUUUCAUGCAUCAACGCCGUGCAUAAUAAAGCCAUGCGUUUCUUUAUCGGCGUUGGGAAAUAUACACCUAAUGAUGCUGUUUCAGGCGAAAUGGCCUGGGUACCACCGAUUAUCCGUCAGUGAAAGUCUAUAGUCGGACAUUGGUCUAGGUUGUGUAAUACACCUGUGUCUCGUAUCAAUAAACAAAUAGCUCUUUGGGCAAAUUGCAAGGCAUGUAAUACAUACAAAUCUUGGUUUUAUUAUGUAAAUGAAAAAUGAUAAGCCUUGACUUGGAUAUAUAUAUACUUAUAUGAAUGACCAUGUACCAAAAUCCAUCGUUGUUAGCCAAAUAUAUGAUAAAAUGAUGUCAGCGUAUGUCAAUGAGUGGCACGAUUCUAUUAAUAGACCAAAAGGUAUACGUGGAAGGGGUGGAAAUAAGUUAAGACACUAUUGCAAGUAUAAAAUUAAAUAUUGUGUUGAAAAUUCUUGUAAAUUGAUUAUGCCGCCAAAAAAAUAGGGCAGCGUUAAGUAAAUUUAGAUGCGGGGUAGCCCCUAUUCGAGUGGAAACAGGCCGAUUUGAAAAUCUUGCCCUAUAUGAUCUUUGCCCUUUUUGCAAUUCUGUUGAAUCAGAAAUUCAUGUGUUAUUCUAUUGUAAGUUGUAUAAAGAUAUACGAAUGCCAUUGUUAGAAAAGGCAAACACAUUUAAUCCGUUAUUUCAAAGUAUGUCCGAUAUAGAUAAGUUGUCUUUUAUUUUAGCAAAUAACAUGUUGUCAAGACUUAGUGCCAAAACCUGCAACGAUAUUCUUAAUUUUAGGAUGUUUUAUUUGUGUAAGUAAUGUUGUUGUUGUUGUUUUUUAAACUUAAAUUAUUGUGAUAUUUUACGUUUAGCUAGAAAUGAGUGGUAAUCAGUUAAUCUACGAUCUGACCGGGGUGAUAUUCGAUUUUUACACCCAUUUGGUAAGUAUGCACGCUUGUGCGCGUUCAUGUUUUCAGUAUUUUAUUUUGUUUGAUUUAACUAAGUUUUAAAACAAGAUUAGCAUUUGUUUCUAUUUUCUUACUUUUGUAUAUAUCGAUUUUAGAUGUUAAAUAAGUAAAGUAUAGCUUUAUGUUUUUGUGUGCUAUAGUCUCUUAUAACUCAUAUAUAAUCAUGUGGCAAUCCAUAUUUUAAUAUAUAUUUAAUAGGUGAUGUAUAUAUGUUGUAUUGAUGAGACUUACAUAAACUAUCAUAUAUGCUAUUUAUCGAUCCGCGCCAGUCUUGGAUAAACUGGUCACGGAGUCUAGCUUUUAACAGUAGAAGGUAUUCGGCAUUAAAACUCAAAGUUAUCAGUGUGGAAAUUUAAUCCUAAAUGAUUUAUUAUAAAUUUCCU
This is an RNA transcript of Mya arenaria, 4730 nucleotides long. RefSeq lists it as uncharacterized. The transcript is spliced from 6 exons. Lineage: Eukaryota; Metazoa; Mollusca; Bivalvia; Myida; Myidae. The record is from RefSeq and is a predicted model, not a curated record.